UCCGUUGGCCAAUCCGGAGCCUA
This 23-nucleotide non-coding RNA is filed under the name Arabidopsis thaliana (thale cress). The record is from RNAcentral. Lineage: Eukaryota; Viridiplantae; Streptophyta; Magnoliopsida; Brassicales; Brassicaceae.